This 76-nucleotide transfer RNA is filed under the name Acidiferrobacter sp. RNAcentral's name for it is "tRNA-Lys". It matches the Rfam family "tRNA". From Rfam's summary of the family: Transfer RNA (tRNA) molecules are approximately 80 nucleotides in length. Their secondary structure includes four short double-helical elements and three loops (D, anti-codon, and T loops). Further hydrogen bonds mediate the characteristic L-shaped molecular structure. tRNAs have two regions of fundamental functional importance: the anti-codon, which is responsible for specific mRNA codon recognition, and the 3' end, to which the tRNAs corresponding amino acid is attached (by aminoacyl-tRNA synthetases). tRNAs cope with the degeneracy of the genetic code in two manners: having more than one tRNA (with a specific anti-codon) for a particular amino acid; and 'wobble' base-pairing, i.e. permitting non-standard base-pairing at the 3rd anti-codon position. The record is from RNAcentral. Lineage: Bacteria; Pseudomonadati; Pseudomonadota; Gammaproteobacteria; Acidiferrobacterales; Acidiferrobacteraceae. RNAcentral also lists the same sequence under 14 other names.
GGGCCGUUAGCUCAGUCGGUAGAGCAUCUGACUUUUAAUCAGGUGGUCGCAGGUUCGAUCCCUGCACGGCCCACCA